AAUAUUGGACAAUGGAGGCAACUCUGAUCCAGCCAUGCCGCGUGAAGGACGAAGGCCCUAUGGGUAGUAAACUUCUUUUGUCAGGGAGCAAUAAGGGCCACGCGUGGUCCGACGAGAGUACCUGGUGAAUAAGCAUCGGCUAACUACGUGCCAGCAGCCGCGGUAAACCGGAGGAUGCAAGCGUUAUCCGGAUUUAUUGGGUUUAAAGGGUGCGUAGGCUGUUUGUCAAGUAAGGGGUGAAAUACCUGAGCCUAACUCAGGAACUGCCUUUGAUACUGGCAGGCUGGAAUACGGAUGCCGUGGGAGGAAUGAGUAGUGUAGCGGUGAAAUGCAUAGAUACUACUCAGAACACCGAUUGCGAAGGCAUCUCACGAAUCCGUCAUUGACGCUGAGGCACGAAAGCGUGGGGAUCAAAC
Molecule: ribosomal RNA, 416 nt
Filed under: uncultured bacterium
Lineage: Bacteria
Description: partial 16S ribosomal RNA
Rfam family: Bacterial small subunit ribosomal RNA
Source: RNAcentral